CAAUACUGAAAAAACAGUGACUCAUGAAUGCUCAGGGUAGGUGGACUGUUCAUAUCAACCAUUUAUGGCUUGGGAAACAUUGUAAAAGAGAGCUUAAACAAUGUAUGAACUGGAGGAAGGGCCGAGUACUGUACUGUGGGCAUUAUAUAGCGUUUGCCCUCUUGAACUGUCCAUGGCUGUGAUCACCCACAUGAAACCUGUAGAAGACUGAGCCUAUUAGCAUUCCAUCCUAGAGCUGUCGGGGGUGGGGGGAUUCCACAAGGCUCGAGCCCUCCCUGAGUAUGUAUAGGCAGUUACAGUUCUCCGGGAAAGAAUUUUUUCUUCCUGUGGUGUGGCUCUUUCCAAGUUUCUCAUGCUCUUGAAUGUUCUCACAAUACUGGCUUAUGUGGAGUAUCUAAGUCAUUGGUUUUGAAGAAGGGUGCUGAAGAUAAAUACGAUUAUUUUCACUGGCCAAACCAAUGUAUACAAAUAGAGCUCGAGAGAUCAAAUACGACCUUAAACUACUAUUUCUACUAGACCAUCAAUUAUAAGUAGAUUUUUACAGACCAAUAUGGGACUAAAACUGAAAAAAGGAAUGGGAAACAUCUAU
This is a long non-coding RNA of Mesocricetus auratus (golden hamster), 589 nucleotides long. RefSeq lists it as uncharacterized. The transcript is spliced from 3 exons. Lineage: Eukaryota; Metazoa; Chordata; Mammalia; Rodentia; Cricetidae. The record is from RefSeq and is a predicted model, not a curated record.